This 744-nucleotide ribosomal RNA is filed under the name uncultured bacterium. RNAcentral describes it as "bacterial SSU rRNA". It matches the Rfam family "Bacterial small subunit ribosomal RNA", at positions 61 to 818 of the family's 1533-position model. The record is from RNAcentral.
GUCGAACGAGCGAGAGAGAGCUUGCUUUCUCAAGCGAGUGGCGAACGGGUGAGUAACGCGUGAGGAACCUGCCUCAAAGAGGGGGACAACAGUUGGAAACGACUGCUAAUACCGCAUAAGCCCACGGCUCGGCAUCGAGCAGAGGGAAAAGGAGCAAUCCGCUUUGAGAUGGCCUCGCGUCCGAUUAGCUAGUUGGUGAGGUAAUGGCCCACCAAGGCAACGAUCGGUAGCCGGACUGAGAGGUUGAACGGCCACAUUGGGACUGAGACACGGCCCAGACUCCUACGGGAGGCAGCAGUGGGGAAUAUUGCACAAUGGGGGAAACCCUGAUGCAGCGACGCCGCGUGGAGGAAGAAGGUCUUCGGAUUGUAAACUCCUGUUGUUGAGGAAGAUAAUGACGGUACACAACAAGGAAGCGACGGCUAACUACGUGCCAGCAGCCGCGGUAAAACGUAGGUCACAAGCGUUGUCCGGAAUUACUGGGUGUAAAGGGAGCGCAGGCGGGAAGACAAGUUGGAAGUGAAAUCUAUGGGCUCAACCCAUAAACUGCUUUCAAAACUGUUUUUCUUGAGUAGUGCAGAGGUAGGCGGAAUUCCCGGUGUAGCGGUGGAAUGCGUAGAUAUCGGGAGGAACACCAGUGGCGAAGGCGGCCUACUGGGCACCAACUGACGCUGAGGCUCGAAAGUGUGGGUAGCAAACAGGAUUAGAUACCCUGGUAGUCCACACCGUAAACGAUGAUUACUA